GAUAGGGGUGCAGGAUGUGCGGAGGGGAGGGGGAGGUCGAGAAGGGGUCCGUUGCUAGAUGGGGGAGAGGAUAUGGCGAGGGUGGCUCUGCGGCGCGCACUCAGCGAGUUUACAUUUAAAUGUAAAAGUGCCGAGUGCUGCUAGGCGAAAGCUGCUGUUUUGCAUUCGAAAGCUCAUGAUUGCCUCUGAGCUUUGCUUUUGACGUCGAGCGUUUCUCUCAACCGACGGACGGCGAGAGGCCGCUAGUCGAGGCUGCGCGGAGAGUUCCGCCGCGUUUCGAGCAGAUGGAACGAGCUCAGAGCUUCCGGAAAAAUUUCGCACAAACGGAAUCGACGAUUAUCUCGAAAACCGGUCUCGGAACGAGUGCGCCAAUUAAUCAACUCCGGUUGUCACACUCCUCGCGUGGCCAUCAACCAUACCCAAACCCCUCUCUGAUUGUCAUUAAUAUAUUAAUCGGAUGCUCGUUAAGCGCGAAAUAUAAUCGUGUCGCGCCAGUCAACGAGUUAAAUGGAUCGACGGCUAAUUAACAACGGCCAUCUAGCCACCGUCACAAGGAAAUCCGAUGAAUUUUCGGCCAUUUCUCUAAUGUUCAAUUUCUUUUCUUUUUCUUUCCUAUAAAAUUCCUCCGCGUUUUUAACCACCUUCUCGAUUUUUCAGGAUUCGACGUCAAGAUUCUCGUCAAUUAAACGGGUGGACGAAGAUUAAUUAAUCGGACGAUCCUCCAGCCAUCGUCGAGCACGAAAUUCGAAUGAAUGAAUUUUUAUGAAAGUUCCCUUCCACGAUAUUUCGCUAUAUCUUUUAAUUAUUUUCCGAACUAUUUUCGAAGAUUUUCGCCAAGGUUCUAAUCAAUUCUCGGAACGAAACGACAGACACACGAGGUUACGAGCUAACCCGCUGUUAUUCUUCUAAUAUGUAUGUUUCUUAUGUGCGCCGGUAAAAGGGCUUCGUGCAAUUUCCUAUGAUAGAUCGAGUCCCGCGGACAAGUUCCAUUACGGCCAGCCUCUGAAUUAUUGAACUGGCAAUUCCCUGGCGACACGCGGGACACCCUGCAUCAAAGUGUCAACGGGCUCAUUAAGUCUCCAAAUCAGGAUCUUUUUUACGAAACGUGUAUAUAUAUAUCCAAACGAUUCGAAUCCUAUCCUGUUCUCUGUCGAAUGGAAGAAGAAUACGACGCUUGGGCAACGAAUGUUUGGAGGAGGAGGAGAUCCGCUGACGUCAUCAAGGACAAUGAGAACCUCGCCGGUAACGCAAUUACCGUUGAAACAGAGAGGGUCGCGGAGGUGUCGGGGCAACCCCUCCGUGACGGUUGCCGAAAAUUCAUUUUGCCGCGCGUUUAAAAUUUUCAUCGGUCCUCUAAUUUUCGCCGUCAUCGCAACUGAUCGCAUUUGCCGAAUAAUUUCCCCUCUCGCCUCGCCCUCGUAAUUGCUCGCGCGAGAGGGGAAAGGGGGAGGGUGACGAUUCCACGGGAACGAGAGCAACGCGUCGUUUCUCAUACAUUGCGAUCUCUCUCUCUCUCUUUUUCUUUCCUCAACCACCCGGCUGCGCAUCGGCUGUCUCUCCGAACGAUGUUUUAUUCAUGCACAUCGGGCAUCGAAAGUGUUGCCGGAGUCGGCGUUUAAGUACACCGCAAACCGCCUUUCCUUGAAACCAUAGAAUACUUUAACGCCUCGGCUAAUUGGCCGGAUACGUGUUACGAAUGAAAGUUUCGAGCUGGAAGCCUCGAUUGCGUAUCAUUUCGACCUGUCUAUUCUCUUCCGAACCCCCCUUUCGCGAGGAACAAUAUUCGUUUGAUUUGCAUUACGUGAUUCUUCAAAAAGAAUAAUUUUUUUUUAAAAUUGGAAAGAAAAACAAAGAGUUCCUACUGGAUUUCGAUUGGAUAUUUUCUACAUCGAAUAUCGUUACGAUACGGCAUUUAAUUAUUUGUAUCUAAUUAGGAAUUCAUUUGAAAAGACUUUUUAUAUAAGACGUUGUUUCACAAUUAUUCGCCAGGGGAACAGAAAACUGUUGGAUUAAAACGCGGAAUAAAGUCUAGACGAUCGGUUUUUCGGAUUGGAAGCGAUUAGCAUCCGAUCGAUUUUGGAGGAGCGGCGGACCAGUUUUUCGCUCGCUAGUUUGUUUCACUUUCUCACUAUGCAUAAUGCAUGAGAGGAGUUUAAAUUCUGCCCGCGUGGCAAACAAAUCGUUGCCUUCGAUAAUAUUCCCAAAGAUACACACACACACACAUAUAUACAUAUAUAUAUAGUUUUAACGAUCGCUAAGAAACGAUGAUAGCGUCGCUUUCGAAGAAAUCGGUGGAGCGAUAUUUUUUUGCAAGUGAUUCGAUCGAUGAUUCGCGCGACCCUCUUUCCAAGGCGGGCCUCUCGAUUAAAGGACAGUUACGGAGUCGUGUGAUUAAGCCGAGGCGGAUAUCGCGUGGUCUCGAUUGGUCGCCAUAUCACGAAUGCUCGGGGCGUGGUUCGGUUACGGAGCUGCUCUCGGCCAACCGUUCUCUCCUUUCAAUUAUUAUUUAAUUAAGCUAAUUGGCGGGAUGGGUCGAAGAGGCAACCGCGAUUUGCUGGCCGCUCGAGAGGAGUUCUGGAGAUCGUUAAGUCGACGUAAACUCUUCGUGGAAUUCGAACGAAUCGUAGGUACCGUUUCGUACGUGAGCAGAAUCGCGAAAUCGGAUAAACUGCGAAUUAUCUGUAAUGAUUAUUGCAAAGAUCAGGUCUUUUUUUUCUUUUUUGCUUGAAACUUUUUCUUCUUCUUUUUAUUGUCCUCGUUCUGCGAGGAAUCGAUAUGACGUAAUGGGAAACUGGAAACGAUUAGCAUAAGAUAGUCGAUGAAACGAUGAACGGAAGAUAGGGUAGUAAAAUAUAUUACAAGUGGGUUUGAAUUAUGCGUAAUGAGUUCUGCGAAUAUUUUUUACAACUCGCAAUUGUUGUUAAAGAAGCAAAAUAAUAGUUAUCAAUCUGAUUUCUUCCAUUUUUCAAGCGUUAUCCAUAUUAUUAUAUUAAAUGAAAUAAGUAAUAAUCCGAUAUGAUAUUUUGAAAUAUUCGAAAAAUCAUUGUUAGCAUAGAUAAAUCAGAUUAUUCCUAACUUAAGGAAAGAUAAAAGAUGUCAAGUAUUACAAUACAUCUUCGAAGAUGAAAAAAAAUACUAGACAUUUCAACUUGUAUAAAAUUUACAAUGAAAUUUGCAAAGUUAGAUACAUACUUACGUCAUUUCUUUCUUUUUUUCUUUAGCUUAGAAAACUAAAAUGGACACCAAAAGUAAUCCUCCUCUGGAUCUAAGUAACCAUCUCAUCGAAUGCAACCCUGGCAAUGCACGAACAUUGAAUUAUCGAAUAUAAUCCAUGCAACAACAUAUUGAUCCAUAUAUAUUACCAAUUGAUAUCGCAUUACGAACAAAUCUAAAUUUAUUUUCCAGAUAAAUACACAUAAACAAUGGAGGAGCAACAUCCCUUACGAAGCCUCAAUCAAUAAUUCCACUAUCGAUUCAUCGAUCUUUUACAUCGAUGUCGAAUCACAUUAAUCGAGCAAAGUAAGGAGCAAACUUUCAUCCGAUAAAUAUUGAUUCAUCGACCACCGAUAACGAUAAUGACAAUCUUCCUCUAAUAUAAAUCUUUCGAUAGGGAAGCAAGAAUAACAGACUUCGUACGUAUCUGAAAACAACGCUCGUCUUGGUUUCCAUAUAUCUUUUUCUUCGUGUACGAGCGGCAGAGAAUUUUGCAAAAUUAUGCAGUCCAACAUAACGUGCCAUUUCGGGGCGGGAGGGGAGUAUCGCGCGAGUACACAUCGAGACACGUGAGCAUAAAUUGGCCCGACGCAAAAUUGGCCUGACAGUUUAACUAUGACAAAAGCACAAUAGAAUGCGCCGUUUCCUGAACGCAGCAUGCGGCUGUAAUUUCUCUGUCUGUCCAUCCGUCUCUCCAUCCUCGGCUCUCUCACUCCCCUUCCCCCCUCUCUUUCUCGCUUAACGAUCUCUCUCUCCCUCUCUCUCGCCGCGGUCCUCCCCCUCCCCCUGUUUUCCAUCUUUGUCGCCCACUUUUUCGCCGCCUAUUUCCAUCCCCGGCCGUUUUCAAAUGGCGGAUAUCGCGGACAGUUUAAUACCGUGUCGCCGUCACGAACGCUUGUUAGCGGAUGAUACUUUGAUCCGAUAGAAAAUAGACUGGAAACUUGGCUGGUUACGAGACACGAAAUUAAGCUUGUUUAUAUUCCAUAACGAAGGAUUUUUUCGAACGGGUUUCGCUCCCAGUGAUUUCCUCGGUGGUUUGAAAAAAUUUCGACCUCGGGUGAAAUCUUUUAUUUUAAAUAUCGGUCAGAGUAUUUAAUGAAAUCUUGGAAAUUAAGCAUGCAAACGGCGUUGCGUUAAUUCCAGUAGGAGAAUUCUGAACAUUCUAAAAAAAUCGGCUUUGAUGACGGUUGUUAUCAUGACACGUCCUCUCUCGCGACCGUGAAUAACAAGGAACCAACCACUUCUACGUAUAAAAUUAACGAUCCGUCUCAUCGAUUAAGCGCACCGUCAACACUUCCUCGAAAUUGUUAACGAUUCUACGCGAGUCUCUGAAAAACGACGACGUCGAGCCUUCUCUCAAAAUUAAUUCAAACUGUGAAGGAAAACAAACUGCAUCCCAAAACCACGUCCUGCGACUAACCAAAUCGUCCAAACAAGAGGGAGGGGAAGGGGUAAAAUUACAACUUGCAUUGCAAAAAGGAUGUAAAAAGUUAAAUCGUCGUAGGUUGAAGAAGAAGCACGGUUUCCUCGUCCACUGGUAAAAAGGACGAAUUUUCCACGGAGGGGCCUGGUCUCGUUCUAAGUGGUCGUCGUUUGAUGACGGUUAUUACCAUGAUGCGCUGUUUCCUGCGACCGUGAGUAUCUUCCACCCACACGUCGACAAGAAACGGCUUUGGCCGCCGUUCCUUGCGCGGGUGUGGGUGCAUGCACACGAGGAAAACACGUAGACCGGCACGUAACGGCCGAUUCCGUGCACACAGACUUGGAGGUCCGACCGAUUCAACGGAUGUUGGUUGAACACGAGCGAAAUCUCUCUCUCUCUCUCUUUCUCGUUCUUUCUCGUGAUUUCGUCAUUAUAUAAUACGCUCGUUUACACACAACAUUGUCGUCGCAAAUAUGUCAUUAAUGUCGGAAAUCAGAGGCCCGUAUCGUAACCGCCCUUGCGUGAUGCGGUUUUCCAGAUUUCGCUUUGACGUGAGUGUGCAUCCACGGACGAUAGCAGAUUCUCCGCCCAACAGGAAGUCGCCAAUACGUUUCUGCUAAACGAAUCUUUGUCGUAAGCAACGAAUUACACGGUAUCGAGUGUUUUUCUUCAUCCUUUUUGCGAAUUUUUCAUUAACGUGAUUGCCUUUUCCUUUCCACAGAUUCAUAGAAUAUCCUUUCUAUGUAAACAAUAAGGAAAUAAACGAGAAGAAUUUAAUUUCUCCCAGAGACCAUUACAAUUUAAACUGAGACAGUGAGAAAAACUGGGUGAAAGUGGAAAUCCUUUCAAGGAUUGCAAACGGAUCUUGCUAUGUAACAGCAACAAGAGUAAUAAUAAUAAAUUUCCAAUCAAAGAUUCGCAAAUGUUCGAUCGACAAAAAGGAGGAGGAUCAUCUUUCCCUGUUAUUUUCACCGAUGGAGGCUCGUCGCCGAGGAACUGCCCUCUUUCUCGGUUUCCCGCACCCUUGGGCUAAUCAUGUAACUCGAUUGAAGAGAACGAGCGAGAGCGGGCCAAUAAGAGGCUCCCUUUAAUCGCGUUACUUCGUUACCCCGUCACUCGGUGCGGUGAUAUCAGCGGAAUAUCAAUUGUAGUGAUUAACCAAGACGGCCGUCGUGGCCUGAAACUUCGCCCCCUCCCUCCGUCCUCGUUCCAGGGAGGGACAAAGAGAAGACGAGAGGAUAACAUCUUUUGUCAGUCAGUAAAUUAACUCGGCGGAAUAUUCAAAUCGCCAAGUCCGCUCGAGCGGAGAUCUUCGAGGCAUUUCAAUCGCCCGUCCCAAAAUCGAGAACAAUCCCCGCAAAGAUUGUUUUUUUUCCAAGGAAAACGUUUCUAGACAAAGCAGUUCGCGAAUUUUUCUUUUGUAUGCACCACGGUAAGAUUCCCUUCUCGAUAAUAAUGGUGUAGUUAUAGUUAGAAAUUCAAUUCGAUUAUGAAUCAUUGAUAAAAUUCACAGUUUUGUCAAUUAAUCGCAGAACAAGUGGACAGAUGUGGGAUGAAAAAUUGGAAAUAUUCAGAAGGAAGAAUCGGGUCCUCGUUUUUCUGAUCCGAGAGUGAUUAACGAUUUUGGCUGGCGCGGAGUGAUUUCACCGAUCGAUUCGGAACUCGUGAAAUUCGUUGGCAAUUAGCGGAACAUGGUUAGGCGAACGAAAAGACGGGGUUUACGAAUUAGACACGGUGCGAUGACCGGGUGAAAUCCGUGGCCCGAGGCCACAUGAUAAUAAUUGCGAGGAUCGGUGGGAGUGUUGGAGACGAGGGUGGCGACGAAAGAGUACUGUAUCGACACAGCUGUCCAACGCACGGGAAACGUGCUCACCGCCAUUGUGUCGGCCAGUGCACGGUCUAACCAACCGUAAACACCUAAAAUCUAAUUGACGAGAUUCAAUUUCGCUCCGACAAUGGCCGGCCGCGACGGAUUAUCGCGUCUAUACUUUCCAAAAAUUACAUAGGAAUCGGCCGUACGAAUUCGUCACGGGCCAAGGAUUCGGCGAAAUCCUUCGCCGAAUCGCGUUAACGGCAUUGCUUGCGUUCAGAGCACGUGCGACGAACCGUUAAGCCGAUCAUCGCGCGUUAAAAUCUCGAAUCUCUUGGAAAUUGCGACUAAAAUAUAUAUAUAGUGAAAAAGAAAAAAGAGAGGAGGAGGCUAUUGUUGCGCACCGUGAGAGCACACGGUAAAUUGAUUAAAGAUUUAUAGGGGUAGAGGUAGUCGAGUAGUUCAAUGCUAUGGAAGUCUUCAAAGUCUUGGGUUAAAGGUUCGAUCUCGUGUUAAUUUAUUCCCGUAGAGAGAGGCUAAUGUUAUUUUUCAAUUUACAUGGAAUAGGUAAGUUAAAACUUGUCGAUACUUUCAUAUAUUUCAGGUGGGAACUUUUUAACGCUCUUUCAAACGUGUCCUUAAUAAAUCAAAAAGAAUGCUUUUCCACGGAAUAUCUUUAAUUGCGAUAAAUCUUACUAAUCCUUAAAGCUUAAAUGAUCGCUUUUUGUUUUCGUAUUUCCAUCAAAAUGCUUUCCUUCCCCAAUCCGGAUCCGAGAGAGAGAGAGAGGAGGGGGGAGGAUAUUAGGCAGGGUGAAUUAUCGUAGAAUCAAAAUAAUUCGAUAGAUGGGGUGUAGUACGAGAGGGGUGGCCAUUUCUGCACGUUGGGGCGCCAAAACAUCCCCCUUUACUCGCUGAAAUAUUGUCAAACGAUCGAUCCUCCUUACCUCUCUCCUCUUUCAAAACCAAACCUUCAAAAUCUUCACGAUCGUCCCAUACUCGUUUACGUAUUAUUACUCUGACCCCUCCGUUAAAACCGUGGUCGUUUACUUAGAAAAAAGACGUUCAAACUCUCGCAAGAGAGAAACUUGCGCCGAGAGUUGUGCAAUACGACAAUACUUUAGCCGCCCAUAUUCCAUAUCCGUAUUUAUUCAUUCGAGCUAAUUUUUUGGGCGUGGAAUCGCCUAUUAGAUGGUCGUGUUGCGCCUAAGGGCAGAUUGACGCCGUGGCUUGGAAACAGAAAAAAAGAAAAAGGAAGAAAAGUAAUGGAGACAGCUGGCAGAACGUUCGAAUCAUCGUGUUUUCGAGAUCGAUUAUUUUUAACGGCGAUUCGCGGGACUUUUCGAGGAAGGUUCCACGAGCGUGUACGUGACACGAGGUUGGAUCGUAUUUAAAAUGCAGAAAGGCAAACGGUGGCGUGUCAAGAGCCCCGUCAGGUGGCCGGUUUAAAUAGCACAAUGGCUCAAUCCGGGGCGAAAAUCCGCCGGGUAAAUCUCCCAUUCAAAUGCGAUCUCAAUCCCCUGCAUCAAAUGGGAUCUAAGUAGCUACUUAGUUGCACAUUUGGCUUUGAAAUUUUCGAUACACCCCUGCUGCCUCCCCGACAACAGCGUGCUAGAAUUCCGCGAUCCUAUCUCCACGCGCUUUUGCGAUUGAACCACCGCCGUACCUGGACGCGUCACGCUAAUCCGUUUUCGAAUUCACCCUUAUGCCAACUAUUAUGUUACACGUUCCCGUGGAGAUGCGAGUGUACCGCUCUCGAAAUGAAAAAAUCUGCGAUUCUUCGAUUCCAUUGUAAAAUAGGGAAGAGGUAUUAAGUAUGUUAUAGUCUGAUACGUGUACUUAUAACAAUUUACGGUGUAUCUGUAAUUUAACAUUUUAAAAUCACGAAACUUAAGACUACCAGAUCCACCGCAUUCGUGUAAUCUUAACUUAUACGAAUCUUAACUCCAUUUGUUCGAAUGAAAUAAAACUUAAAAUUCUUCGUAAAUUUAGAGUUUACACGGGAUAAUUCUCGCGUAAAGAGACGAUCAAAGAAAGCUUUUAAAAUUAAUUCUAAGCCCUUGUGUUAAUCUGGGACGGGGAGGUUGGCGUAAAACUUGGCCGAGAGGGGAAGAUCGGAUGUAACGUCGCUAAUUCAAUCGGGAUCAAUUAGAGGAACGAAGUGUUUUCUAUAAAUUCACGAGGUUAACGAGAUUCCAAUUCGGUAUAUAAUUACGAACGAUCGGGCCGCAAGGGUCCCUCGGUUAGCCACCGCGGACGGGAAUAAUUAGUUUUAAUUGCCCCGGCGAAACUUAUCCCUCCCCGUUGACGCAUUAAGACCAAAGUUAGACGGGCCACAGGAGGUUUAGGUUUUGCGAAGCGUGAGCAGGUAAGGUAUACACGUACUACGUGACACGGUUGGUAAACCCAAAGCUGGCUUUGUUAAGCUCGGAUUCUGAGUGCCUUUGAUACGUGUACUUGCACGCUAACUAACCAACCUAAGCUAUCCACAGCGAGCUCGCUGUACGUACGAGAGGUGCGCGUGUGUUACGUGCUUUUCUAUAUCGCCCCGGGCAGGGACGUGUAAUUGUUGGUUCGUUGAUUUUACGAUUUUCAAUUUUCUCGUAGUUGCAGUUUUUUUUCUCGCAUCGAUGUGCUCCAAUUCAACGAUUAAAAAAUUACGCCAAUAUUUUGCGCGAAAAUUUCUCGAAGAACUGAUCGAUCUUUCGUUCUUUAGUUUUUCAUUAAAGAAGCGACAAUUGCGUGUUAAUUUUAAAUCGGUGAAGAGUGAAGAAUGACAGUUCAUUGGUUGGAACAUAUGCGAAUUAACUCGUUGUCUGGAGCAAAUUGGUUAAAAUGUAGUCGUAGGAGCCCGUAGUGAUUCGACGUCCCUGUCUCUUACCUAUGUUACCCUCGACAUCGUCUAUACGAGUAUGACCUACACGUGCGCGAUACAUUUCCAACUGGGAAUUGAAUUUCCUUGGUAAUUUUAAUGCCAUUGUGGCUGGGAAGGGGUGGAGAGAGGCACCGAGACAGAGGGUAACAAACACAACCACAAAGUGUGCAUCCCCUAACCACCUCGUAGACGCAAAAUUUAGUUGGAGACGAAUACGAUAUCCUUGC
Apis cerana (Asiatic honeybee) is the source of this 9545-nucleotide long non-coding RNA. RefSeq lists it as uncharacterized. The record is from RefSeq and is a predicted model, not a curated record. NCBI's taxonomy places the organism in Eukaryota, Metazoa, Arthropoda, Insecta, Hymenoptera, Apidae.